GAUGAAGAACGUAGCGAAAUGCGAUAAGUAAUGUGAAUUGCAGAAUUCAGUGAAUCAUCGAAUCUUUGAACGCACAUUGCGCCCGCUAGUAUUCUGGCGGGCAUGCCUGUCCGAGCGUCAUUUCAACCCUCAAGCCCCCGGGCUUGGUGUUGGGGAUCGGCGAGCCUCCGCGCCCGCCGUCCCCUAAAUCUAGUGGCGGUCUCGCUGUAGCUUCCUCUGCGUAGUAGCACACCUCGCACUGGGAAACAUCGCGGCCACGCCGUUAAACCCCCAACUUCUGAACGUUUGACCUCGGAUCAGGUAGGAAUACCCGCUGAACUUAAGCAUAUCAAUAAGCGGAGGA
Molecule: unclassified non-coding RNA, 343 nt
Filed under: soil metagenome
Description: partial contains 5.8S ribosomal RNA, internal transcribed spacer 2, and large subunit ribosomal RNA
Rfam family: 5.8S ribosomal RNA (bases 1-120)
Source: RNAcentral